UACGAGAGGGGUAAGCAUUAUUCAUCAUUAAUGGGUCUAAAGGGUACGUAGGCUGUAUCAUAAGACUGAAAGGUAUCGAACUAAAUGAAUAAGAGCUUUUCAGUAACUAUGAAACUAGAGUGUAAUGGAGGAAAGAGGAACUCCGAGAGUAGGGAUGGAAUCUGUUGAUCCCCGGAAGACCGCUUAAGGCGAAGGCUUCUUUCUAACUAAACACUGACGCUGAGGUACGAAAGUAUGGGGAGCAAAACGG
RNAcentral lists this unclassified non-coding RNA (250 nucleotides) under uncultured bacterium. Its description in RNAcentral is "contains 16S-23S intergenic spacer region". It matches the Rfam family "Bacterial small subunit ribosomal RNA", at positions 524 to 776 of the family's 1533-position model. The record is from RNAcentral.